RNAcentral lists this ribosomal RNA (633 nucleotides) under Triticum aestivum (bread wheat). Its description in RNAcentral is "partial small subunit ribosomal RNA". Lineage: Eukaryota; Viridiplantae; Streptophyta; Magnoliopsida; Poales; Poaceae. The record is from RNAcentral.
AUGGCCUGCUCCUCUUCCACCUGUGGCGAUACCACACUGCAUGCGCAUUUCGUUGCCUGCUUGGUUCAUGUGUUGUCAGGCCUAGGCUUCAUGGGCGAGCUCCGUGUAGGCGGACGGCGUAGAGAAGGUGAAGACACCGCCGGGGACGACUCGUUCUCCGAGUCGAUGGCGGCGAGCUUGGAUUCCGGCGCGUCCAGCGGAUCGCUGUGCUCGUCGAUCAUGUCGAGCCUGACAGACGACGACGCGGAGUCCUCCCCGGUGGCGGGUGAUCCUACGCCGUCGCCAUCGCCGUCGGACGCGAUGCGGCUGGACGGGGACGGCGGCGGGCCUCUCUACGAGCUGGCGCCGCUGCUGGCGCACCUUCCCGUCAGGACAGGGCUGUCCAAGUACUACAAAGGGAAGUCCCAGUCCUUCACAUCUCUGUCCGACGUCAAAUGCUUGCAAGAUCUCGCAAAGAAGACCACCGCCCACAUCGGCAGGAAGGCGAGCCGCUCGUCGACUUCACCGCUUCACGUUCAAGGGCCUCGCAGCAAGACGAUAGGGAAGAAGAAGAAGGCACCGCCCAGGGGUUCAUCUGGCCGGCUGCCGUCAAGAGCAGCAUGGAGCAGGGGCCUUUUCGCACAGAAGCGGUAA